AGUGAACGCUGGCGGUAGGCCUAACACAUGCAAGUCGAACGGCAGCACAGUAAGAGCUUGCUCUUACGGGUGGCGAGUGGCGGACGGGUGAGGAAUACAUCGGAAUCUACUUUUUCGUGGGGGAUAACGUAGGGAAACUUACGCUAAUACCGCAUACAACCUACGGGUGAAAGCAGGGGAUCUUCGGACCUUGCGCGAUUGAAUGAGCCGAUGUCGGAUUAGCUAGUUGGCGGGGUAAAGGCCCACCAAGGCGACGAUCCGUAGCUGGUCUGAGAGGAUGAUCAGCCACACUGGAACUGAGACACGGUCCAGACUCCUACGGGAGGCAGCAGUGGGGAAUAUUGGACAAUGGGCGCAAGCCUGAUCCAGCCAUACCGCGUGGGUGAAGAAGGCCUUCGGGCUGUAAAGCCCUUUUGUUGGGAAAGAAAAGCAGCAGGUUAAUACCCCGCUGUUCUGACGGUACCCAAAGAAUAAGCACCGGCUAACUUCGUG
This 492-nucleotide ribosomal RNA is filed under the name uncultured bacterium. RNAcentral describes it as "partial 16S ribosomal RNA". It matches the Rfam family "Bacterial small subunit ribosomal RNA", at positions 29 to 507 of the family's 1533-position model. The record is from RNAcentral.